AGCGAACGCUGGCGGCAGGCCUAACACAUGCAAGUCGAACGAACCUUUCGGGGUUAGUGGCGGACGGGUGAGUAACACGUGGGAACGUGCCCUUAGGUUCGGAAUAACUCAGGGAAACUUGUGCUAAUACCGAAUGUGCCCUUCGGGGGAAAGAUUAAUCGCCUUUAGAGCGGCCCGCGUCUGAUUAGCUAGUUGGUUGAGGUAAUGGCUCACCAAGGCGACGUUCAGUAGCUGGUCUGAGAGGAUGAUCAGCCACAUUGGGACUGAGACACGGCCCAAACUCCUACGGGAGGCAGCAGUGGGGAAUCUUGCGCAAUGGGCGAAAGCCUGACGCAGCCAUGCCGCGUGAAUGAUGAAGGUCUUAGGAUUGUAAAAUUCUUUCACCGGGGACGAUAAUGACGGUACCCGGAGAAGAAGCCCCGGCUAACUUCGUG
RNAcentral lists this ribosomal RNA (434 nucleotides) under uncultured bacterium. Its description in RNAcentral is "partial 16S ribosomal RNA". It matches the Rfam family "Bacterial small subunit ribosomal RNA", at positions 29 to 507 of the family's 1533-position model. The record is from RNAcentral.